AGGACGAACGCUGGCGGCGUGCUUAACACAUGCAAGUCGAACGGUGAAGCCCCUUCGGGGGUGGAUCAGUGGCGAACGGGUGAGUAACACGUGAGCAACCUGCCCUUGACUCUGGGAUAACUCCGGGAAACCGGAGCUAAUACCGGAUACGACACGCGAAGGCAUCUUCUGCGUGUGGAAAGAUUUAUCGGUCAAGGAUGGGCUCGCGGCCUAUCAGCUUGUUGGUGGGUAAUGGCCUACCAAGGCGACGACGGGUA
RNAcentral lists this ribosomal RNA (257 nucleotides) under uncultured bacterium. RNAcentral's name for it is "partial small subunit ribosomal RNA". It matches the Rfam family "Bacterial small subunit ribosomal RNA", at positions 26 to 285 of the family's 1533-position model. The record is from RNAcentral.